UGCAAGUUCGAGCGGAUGAUUAAGAGCUUGCUCUUCGAUUCAGCGGCGGACGGGUGAGUAAUACCUAGGAAUCUGCCUGGUAGUGGGGGACAACGUUUCGAAAGGAACGCUAAUACCGCAUACGUCCUACGGGAGAAAGCAGGGGACCUUCGGGCCUUGCGCUAUCAGAUGAGCCUAGGUCGGAUUAGCUAGUUGGUGAGGUAAUGGCUCACCAAGGCUACGAUCCGUAACUGGUCUGAGAGGAUGAUCAGUCACACUGGAACUGAGACACGGUCCAGACUCCUACGGGAGGCAGCAGUGGGGAAUAUUGGACAAUGGGCGAAAGCCUGAUCCAGCCAUGCCGCGUGUGUGAAGAAGGUCUUCGGAUUGUAAAGCACUUUAAGUUGGGAGGAAGGGCAGUAAGCGAAUACCUUGCUGUUUUGACGUUACCGACAGAAUAAGCACCGGCUAACUCUGUGCCAGCAGCCGCGGUAAUACAGAGGGUGCAAGCGUUAAUCGGAAUUACUGGGCGUAAAGCGCGCGUAGGUGGUUCGUUAAGUUGGAUGUGAAAUCCCCGGGCUCAACCUGGGAACUGCAUACAAAACUGGCGAGCUAUAAUAGGGCAAAGGGUGGUGGAAAUUCCUGAGGAGCGGCGAAAUGCGUUUAUAUAGGAAGG
This 655-nucleotide ribosomal RNA is filed under the name Pseudomonas sp. F121. RNAcentral describes it as "bacterial SSU rRNA". It matches the Rfam family "Bacterial small subunit ribosomal RNA", at positions 56 to 704 of the family's 1533-position model. The record is from RNAcentral. Lineage: Bacteria; Pseudomonadati; Pseudomonadota; Gammaproteobacteria; Pseudomonadales; Pseudomonadaceae.